AUGGAGGAUGUGAUCUUCGAGGGUGGGCAUGGCCGUGCCUACGACCCCGACGAGACCCUAAGUCAGGAUGGCCGUGCCCAGUACGUUGCCGAUGAAGAGGCCGACGACCGUGCUGACUACGACCAUGGUGACUCGUGGCAUGAAGACGAUGACAUCUAUUGCGAAGGAGAUGGUGAUGAAGAAGAAGUCAAUGACAUUGAUAUUGGUGGCGAGCCAUUGUUCAUCGACGAGCUCACCCAAAGAGUGGAAGCACAAAAGAGGAGGAAGAGCAUUCGCACGGGUUCAUAUACACAAGAUGAGGACAAGUUGAUUUGCCAAUGUUGGAUGGAGAUUAGCCAAGAUCCGAAGACCGACGCGCAACAAAAGGGCCUUGUUUUUGGGACGAGAGUCCACAAAACAUUUCAUGAAAGGAAGAUGUUUGAGCCCUAUCAAAUUACAAGCAACUGUGGCAUCACCUCGAUUCAAAAGAGGUGGUUGUUCAUCCAAGAGUAUAACAAGUAUUGCGCCGCAUUUGAGAGCGUUGAAGCACAGCCUGUGAGUGGUCUCGGCGUUGGGGACAUGGUAUGA
Molecule: ribosomal RNA, 567 nt
Filed under: Triticum aestivum (bread wheat)
Lineage: Eukaryota; Viridiplantae; Streptophyta; Magnoliopsida; Poales; Poaceae
Description: partial small subunit ribosomal RNA
Source: RNAcentral